Molecule: long non-coding RNA, 1030 nt
Filed under: Pongo abelii (Sumatran orangutan)
Lineage: Eukaryota; Metazoa; Chordata; Mammalia; Primates; Hominidae
Description: lincRNA
Source: RNAcentral
GGAUGAUGCAUCUGAGAGCUCAAUGCAAGAUGGUGAUGACGAAGAUGAAGAUGCUGUGAGUGAUGAUGAUGAUGAGGAGGAGGAGGAUGUAAUUGAAGGAGCUUGGGCUUUGCCAUCAGUACAGCUGAGUUAAAAUAUGGAGGCGCAUCACACAACUGGCAAGUACUCGCCUAAGGGGGGGUCCAUCUUUUCUGGAACUGCAACAUCCCAUCUGUUCACUUUUAUGCCUUAAUAUCCCCAAAGUCACUCUCGCCAAACGCUAAAGGGCACAUAUUUAUUGUUUUAAUUAAAGUGAAUAGGUUUGAGGAUUUUAAAAAAGAACUUUGAAGCUAUCCAAGGGCGUUCCAAAAUCAGAGAAGGGAAAGCUUACACCAGAAUGCAUCAGAGUGACAUAGCUCAUCCCAGGCUCCCUGAUUUAGGAGAAAGGGAGCAAAGAAGAAGAAAGGAAAAACUGAAAAAAGAAACAUUGAGGCUCAUGUCUUUGUUUUGUUUCUCAAAAGAUUCCAUUAGACUCAAUAUGUCAUUCUAAGUGCACCUGGAUAUAGCGCAGAUUUAGAUAACUCUCUCCUCCCCUUCUGACCUUUAUUACGACUACAAAAAUUCUGUGUGUGAGGGAUAAAUAAUGCAUGCUCUCAGCCAAGAAGGGAAAGAAGACCCAAGGAAAAAUUGCAGAAUAGGAUGGCAAACCAGGAAAACAGAGCUCAGUGUAGAAGGGAGUUGGGCAGCCUCUGUUCCUGUUUGGCUCUGUCCUUGAAGAAAGUGAUAAGAAGUGCACAGAUUUUGGAAUUAAACAGACCAUGGUUUGAAGUCUGGAUCUUCCAGUUGUAACCAGGUGGCAUUGGGGCCUAUGGUUCAUCCUGCAAUAUCAGAGAAUAUGCAACUGUUGGAAGCUCAUUUGUGCAGAAGCACUAGUUAGACCAAGUCCCAGGAUGGUGGGGACUUGAACUGCCUCAUGCACAUUGAACCCAAGAGCCUGGCCCAUGAAAGUAAAUCAGUGGAUACUUGAAUAAAGAGAAGAAUAUGCGCUGAA